GCCAGGCAUAGUGGUGCACGCCUGUAAUCUCAGCAGCUUGGGAGGCUGAGGCAGGAGGAUGGCGAGUUCAAAGCCAGCCUCAGCAAAAGAGAGGCACUGAGCAACUCAGUGAAACUCUGUCUCUA
Molecule: small RNA, 125 nt
Filed under: Marmota monax (woodchuck)
Lineage: Eukaryota; Metazoa; Chordata; Mammalia; Rodentia; Sciuridae
Source: RNAcentral